GGGCUAUGAUGAUAUCAAGAGAAAGGUUUCGCAUAUUCCUGAAAUCCAGUGAUGAUCUCUCUUGGCUGUCUGAGCUU
Molecule: small nucleolar RNA, 77 nt
Organism: Pseudophryne corroboree (corroboree frog)
Lineage: Eukaryota; Metazoa; Chordata; Amphibia; Anura; Myobatrachidae
Product: small nucleolar RNA SNORD53/SNORD92
Exons: 1
Source: RefSeq, a predicted model, not a curated record